GUAGUUGUUUAACGGCGCCCCCUUAAGUGUCUAUUUUUGAAAAAAAAUAGCGGGAAUUUCACACACGUGCUUUGCACGUGUGAUCCCAAGGGUUAAUUCGUCUUUUCCAGUACACUUUUAUCACUGUUCUACCUUUCCCUUUAUUACCGUUAGAAUCCCCAAUAUUCUUUCCUUUAUAAAUCAUUAGAAGCCCUAAUUUUCUGCUGCCCAUUCUCUAUUAUUCCUCUUCUUGAUUUGCCGUUGCUUCUUCUUCCAAUUUCGUUUUGAUUUGGUUUCAAUUUCAUAUGGACGCGACGUGCUUUUGUUCGAGAAGACCGGUCAUGAAAACUUCAUGGACUGAUCUGAAUCUAGGAAGAAGAUACACCAAUUGCGACAAGUUCCGGAAACCUGGAGGUUGUAACUAUUUUGUUUGGACUGAUCCUCCAAUGUGCGAAAGAUCCCGACAAAUUAUACCUGGGUUGCUUCGUAGGAUUAAUAAACAAGAAGAAGAGA
This is a non-coding RNA of Erythranthe guttata (spotted monkey flower), 492 nucleotides long. The record is from RefSeq and is a predicted model, not a curated record. Lineage: Eukaryota; Viridiplantae; Streptophyta; Magnoliopsida; Lamiales; Phrymaceae.